UACGUAGGGGGCAAGCGUUGUCCGGAUUUAUUGGGCGUAAAGAGCGUGUAGGCGGCCACACAGGUCAGCUGUGAAAACUCGAGGCUCAACCUCGAGACGUCGGUUGAAACCGUAUGGCUAGAGUCCGGAAGAGGAGAGUGGAAUUCCCGGUGUAGCGGUGAAAUGCGCAGAUAUCGGGAAGAACACCCGUGGCGAAGGCGGCUCUCUGGGACGGUACCGACGCUGAGACGCGAAAGCGUGGGGAGCGAACAGG
This 253-nucleotide ribosomal RNA is filed under the name uncultured bacterium. Its description in RNAcentral is "partial 16S ribosomal RNA". It matches the Rfam family "Bacterial small subunit ribosomal RNA", at positions 524 to 776 of the family's 1533-position model. The record is from RNAcentral.